This 253-nucleotide ribosomal RNA is filed under the name uncultured bacterium. RNAcentral describes it as "partial 16S ribosomal RNA". It matches the Rfam family "Bacterial small subunit ribosomal RNA", at positions 524 to 776 of the family's 1533-position model. The record is from RNAcentral.
UACGUAGGGUGCGAGCGUUGUCCGGAAUUACUGGGCGUAAAGAGCUCGUAGGUGGUUUGUCGCGUUGUUCGUGAAAACUCACAGCUCAACUGUGGGCGUGCGGGCGAGACGGGCAGACUGGAGUACUGCAGGGGAGACUGGAAUUCCUGGUGUAGCGGUGGAAUGCGCAGAUAUCAGGAGGAACACCGGUGGCGAAGGCGGGUCUCUGGGCAGUAACUGACGCUGAGGAGCGAAAGCGUGGGGAGCGAACAGG